CACGUGUCAUAAUAUAAGUGGAUAAAUAUUAAAAUAUAUCUUACAAAAAUGAGAAACUUGUUGACACGUUACACUGUUAGUGUCAAAGUGGCGCCCGUGACAAUAAUAAAAUGAGUGAGAAAAAUUAACACAUAUCAUUGUAUUAUUGCACUUUUUUUGAAAAAGGGUUAUAUCAGUUCCGUCGUUUAUAUUAUAACACACGUUUUACCAUCUUGUGUUGUAAAUAUGCAUAAAAAUUAUCUUGAAAGAGUCAAAUUUUAACCACAAUAAUAAAAAUUAGGCUAAUUGAAUUAAGAGUCGCGGUGGUAAUAGAAUAGUCGAAAAAUAGUCUCUGCAAUAAAAAAAUUAAGAUUUAGGCUCAUAUGGUAAAGUUUGUUAAGAUUUAAUCCUAAAUUGAAAAUUUGGUCAAGGCUCACAUCUAAAAGGAAGAGUGGAGAAAAUUUUCAAUUUUAGACCUAAUCCUAAAAAUGCGUUUAAUCCUAAUUUUACUACAUAUACUAUCUUGGGACUAUCUUAUCGGACCUGGAUUGUCUGCCCUCCUCAAAUCAUACACUUUCCAUCCCCUCCUAUUCUGUGGUCAUAGUUAAGUCACGUCAACAUUUUAUAUUAAUUUUUUUUAUAGAGAUAAUAAGAUAAAAAAAUAUUGAGAAUAUAAAAUGUUAAAAUGAUUUAAUUGUGAUCACAUAAAUAAGAAAGGAUAUGAAGAAGAUGGGUUGAGGGAGGACAGACAAUCCAGGUCUCUAUCUUAUCACCCUUAAUCCAAUUAGGCCUAAAAAUUAAUUUCAAACACAACCUUUUACCUUUCGCCUGAAGUCCAAUCAGCUCUGCCAAAAGAAAAAUAAUUGAACAGCUGUACUGCUACGAGCAAUAUAAUAAUAAUUAAUUAAUUAAAUUUUCCACAGGUUAAGAAUUUUGAACGGAGAACUCUUGAAUUAUGAAAUGCGGGUAAAAUCCCCACACUACAAGUAGGGCUGCCCCUCUCUCAUUUUUCCUCAUCACACCUCAAAGUCUCCCUCUUUCUCUCUGUGCUGGAGGUAAUGCUCUAGAAUCUUGAAGAACCCUCCUUUCAAUUCUUUCAAGUUUCAAGCUUUUGCUAAUUUGGUGUUUUGGGAACUUUUGUUUUUGUGCAGAGAAAAUGGCUUCUUGCAAACAAUGGACUGUGUUUUUUAGCUUGCUGUGUUUGGCCUCUGCAACAAUGGCAGCUCCCCUGAAAACGCCGGUUGCGGUGCCGUUCGGCAGAAACUACAUGCCCACUUGGGCAUUUGAUCACAUCAAGUACUUCAAUGGAGGCAAUGAGAUCCAGUUGCAUCUCGACAAGUACACAGGUACAAAAUGGAACAAGUACAAGCACAUAUUAUUAGUAACGCUUAAGCGUUACCCAGUUAAUAAUAACUUAAUACAGCGGUAAACACUCGCUUGAAAGUUCAUGUUAUGGAGGCUUACUAAAAAUUGGUUUUAAUUUUGUGAAGGUACUGGCUUCCAAUCGAAAGGAAAUUACUUGUUCGGCCACUUCCAUAUGCAAAUUAAGAUGGUUCCUGGGGACUCUGCUGGAACUGUUACUGCAUUCUAUGUGAGCAUGUUUCUCGAUUUCUUUCAUUUUUUGCUUAAUAAUAUUCCUUUUGUUUCCCAAAUACUUUUGAAAUGGGCAUUGAGCUCAGAUGAUUUACGCUUGUUAUUCAGCUGUCUUCGCAAAACAACGAGCACGACGAGAUCGAUUUCGAGUUCUUGGGGAACAGGACAGGGCAGCCCUACAUUCUGCAGACCAAUGUGUUCACAGGAGGAAAGGGGGAUAGAGAGCAGAGGAUUUUCCUCUGGUUCGAUCCCACUGCAGCUUACCACUCCUACGCUGUCCUCUGGAAUCUCUACCAGAUUGUGUAAGUUCUUUCUCCCUUCUUCAACCCUGUUUCUGAAAUCCUCUGUUUUUAUGAACAUUUUUUGUCUCUUGAUAUAUUUUUAUUCUUAGCGUGACGAAGAGAAAAAAAAUGACGAUGAAAAUCACUUUAAUUUAAGAAAAUUAAUGAAAAAAAUUCGAAAAUUUUGAGUUUUAACAAUAAAAAUAAGAUAAAUGGUAAACUGAAUAAUACUAGGAUUAACUUUUUAAUGUAAAGAUAUGAUUUUUCGUUAAAAUUUCGUUUAAUUUAAGCUAUUUCUAAUCCUUGUGACCCUCAAAACAUUAGAACAAAGUUGUUUUGUGUGGAAAUUAACAAGUGCAAUGAUCUUAACCCUCUAGUUUUCUCACUUUAUCCGUUAUAUAUACAUAUUUUCUUUUAAUUUAUUCAAUUUAAACCCGAGUGAAUAGUGCAGUUUGAAAAAAUGUUAAACAGAAAUCAUUACAUCUCUUGGAUUAUUCAUUGUGUAAUUACGAUCACGUGACGGGUACUGUAAAGUUAAUAAAUUAUAGACUCCUUUCACCAUCAUUACAUUUGCACCAAACUCAUGGAGUUCAAAAUUUCCAACCGAGAAAAAAUAAAACAAAUUAUAGCAAAACCCUAGUAAAUCAAAGCUUUUCAAUUCUUAAUUUAGUUUCCGACAAAAUUUGACCAAAUGUGGAUUUUUAGGGACAAGGAUAAUCUCCGGAUCUUUUUCAAGGAGAUCUAGAAAUUCAAUCAAUUUUGUUUGUUUAUCGUACGAUCAAUUUUCGUUACGUAUUAUUUAUAUUCAAUGUAAAAUUUAAAAUUUAAAAUAAUUUUUAACUACAUAAUGAACGGACUCCGAACUCUCCAUAAAGAGGAUCCAGGGAGAAUCUUAUUCCGGUUUUCAGGAUUAUGUUGACCAAAAGGUCCAAAACUCGUGCAAUUUUUCAACAGACAAACGUUGAACUUUGGUCCCCAAAUUAUUGAGGGGGGAUCUCCACUUUUUCCUUAACUUUUCUUUUACUUUUUUCAUACAUGUUUUGGAUAUAAAUACAACGAUUUUAACGUGUUUGACCUUUUUGGGCAAAAUUCGUAUGUGGCUGACGUGUCCCGCCAUGUCAUGCAAAAUCAGAUUCCUCGUGGACGACGUACCAAUCAGGGUGUUCAAAAACUGCAAAGAUUUGGGUGUGAAAUUCCCAUUUAACCAGCCCAUGAAGCUCUACUCCAGCUUGUGGAACGCAGACGACUGGGCCACCAGGGGUGGGCUGGAAAAAACCGAUUGGUCUAAGGCCCCGUUCAUCGCCACGUACCGGGGUUUCCACAUCGACGGCUGCGAGGCCUCCGUCAAUGCCAAGUUCUGUGACACACAGGGUAAGAGAUGGUGGGACCAGAGGGAGUACCAAGACCUUGAUGCUCAGCAAUGGAGGAGGCUGAGGUGGGUCCGCCAGAAAUACACCAUCUACAACUACUGCACUGACCGAGCCCGAUACCCUACUAUGCCACCAGAGUGCCAGAGGGACAGAGACGUAUAAAGUUACAAACCGACCG
This 3401-nucleotide long non-coding RNA is filed under the name Malus domestica (apple). RNAcentral's name for it is "long non-coding RNA (MDOM_LNC011909)". The record is from RNAcentral. Lineage: Eukaryota; Viridiplantae; Streptophyta; Magnoliopsida; Rosales; Rosaceae.